AGCGUACACGGUGGAUGCCCUGGCAGUCAGAGGCGAUGAAGGACGUGCUAAUCUGCGAUAAGCGUCGGUAAGGUGAUAUGAACCGUUAUAACCGGCGAUUUCCGAAUGGGGAAACCCAGUGUGUUUCGACACACUAUCAUUAACUGAAUCCAUAGGUUAAUGAGGCGAACCGGGGGAACUGAAACAUCUAAGUACCCCGAGGAAAAGAAAUCAACCGAGAUUCCCCCAGUAGCGGCGAGCGAACGGGGAGGAGCCCAGAGCCUGAAUCAGUGUGUGUGUUAGUGGAAGCGUCUGGAAAGGCGCGCGAUACAGGGUGACAGCCCCGUACACAAAAAUGCACAUGCUGUGAGCUCGAUGAGUAGGGCGGGACACGUGGUAUCCUGUCUGAAUAUGGGGGGACCAUCCUCCAAGGCUAAAUACUCCUGACUGACCGAUAGUGAACCAGUACCGUGAGGGAAAGGCGAAAAGAACCCCGGCGAGGGGAGUGAAAAAGAACCUGAAACCGUGUACGUACAAGCAGUGGGAGCACGCUUAGGCGUNNNNNNNNNNGUGAGGGAAAGGCGAAAAGAACCCCGGCGAGGGGAGUGAAAAAGAACCUGAAACCGUGUACGUACAAGCAGUGGGAGCCUCUUUAUGGGGUGACUGCGUACCUUUUGUAUAAUGGGUCAGCGACUUAUAUUCUGUAGCAAGGUUAACCGAAUAGGGGAGCCGAAGGGAAACCGAGUCUUAACUGGGCGUUAAGUUGCAGGGUAUAGACCCGAAACCCGGUGAUCUAGCCAUGGGCAGGUUGAAGGUUGGGUAACACUAACUGGAGGACCGAACCGACUAAUGUUGAAAAAUUAGCGGAUGACUUGUGGCUGGGGGUGAAAGGCCAAUCAAACCGGGAGAUAGCUGGUUCUCCCCGAAAGCUAUUUAGGUAGCGCCUCGUGAAUUCAUCUCCGGGGGUAGAGCACUGUUUCGGCAAGGGGGUCAUCCCGACUUACCAACCCGAUGCAAACUGCGAAUACCGGAGAAUGUUAUCACGGGAGACACACGGCGGGUGCUAACGUCCGUCGUGAAGAGGGAAACAACCCAGACCGCCAGCUAAGGUCCCAAAGUCAUGGUUAAGUGGGAAACGAUGUGGGAAGGCCCAGACAGCCAGGAUGUUGGCUUAGAAGCAGCCAUCAUUUAAAGAAAGCGUAAUAGCUCACUGGUCGAGUCGGCCUGCGCGGAAGAUGUAACGGGGCUAAACCAUGCACCGAAGCUGCGGCAGCGACGCUUAUGCGUUGUUGGGUAGGGGAGCGUUCUGUAAGCCUGUGAAGGUGUGCUGUGAGGCAUGCUGGAGGUAUCAGAAGUGCGAAUGCUGACAUAAGUAACGAUAAAGCGGGUGAAAAGCCCGCUCGCCGGAAGACCAAGGGUUCCUGUCCAACGUUAAUCGGGGCAGGGUGAGUCGACCCCUAAGGCGAGGCCGAAAGGCGUAGUCGAUGGGAAACAGGUUAAUAUUCCUGUACUUGGUGUUACUGCGAAGGGGGGACGGAGAAGGCUAUGUUGGCCGGGCGACGGUUGUCCCGGUUUAAGCGUGUAGGCUGGUUUUCCAGGCAAAUCCGGAAAAUCAAGGCUGAGGCGUGAUGACGAGGCACUACGGUGCUGAAGCAACAAAUGCCCUGCUUCCAGGAAAAGCCUCUAAGCAUCAGGUAACAUCAAAUCGUACCCCAAACCGACACAGGUGGUCAGGUAGAGAAUACCAAGGCGCUUGAGAGAACUCGGGUGAAGGAACUAGGCAAAAUGGUGCCGUAACUUCGGGAGAAGGCACGCUGAUAUGUAGGUGAAGUCCCUCGCGGAUGGAGCUGAAAUCAGUCGAAGAUACCAGCUGGCUGCAACUGUUUAUUAAAAACACAGCACUGUGCAAACACGAAAGUGGACGUAUACGGUGUGACGCCUGCCCGGUGCCGGAAGGUUAAUUGAUGGGGUCAGCGCAAGCGAAGCUCUUGAUCGAAGCCCCGGUAAACGGCGGCCGUAACUAUAACGGUCCUAAGGUAGCGAAAUUCCUUGUCGGGUAAGUUCCGACCUGCACGAAUGGCGUAAUGAUGGCCAGGCUGUCUCCACCCGAGACUCAGUGAAAUUGAACUCGCUGUGAAGAUGCAGUGUACCCGCGGCAAGACGGAAAGACCCCGUGAACCUUUACUAUAGCUUGACACUGAACAUUGAGCCUUGAUGUGUAGGAUAGGUGGGAGGCUUAGAAGUGUGGACGCCAGUCUGCAUGGAGCCGACCUUGAAAUACCACCCUUUAAUGUUUGAUGUUCUAACGUUGACCCGUAAUCCGGGUUGCGGACAGUGUCUGGUGGGUAGUUUGACUGGGGCGGUCUCCUCCUAAAGAGUAACGGAGGAGCACGAAGGUUGGCUAAUCCUGGUCGGACAUCAGGAGGUUAGUGCAAUGGCAUAAGCCAGCUUGACUGCGAGCGUGACGGCGCGAGCAGGUGCGAAAGCAGGUCAUAGUGAUCCGGUGGUUCUGAAUGGAAGGGCCAUCGCUCAACGGAUAAAAGGUACUCCGGGGAUAACAGGCUGAUACCGCCCAAGAGUUCAUAUCGACGGCGGUGUUUGGCACCUCGAUGUCGGCUCAUCACAUCCUGGGGCUGAAGUAGGUCCCAAGGGUAUGGCUGUUCGCCAUUUAAAGUGGUACGCGAGCUGGGUUUAGAACGUCGUGAGACAGUUCGGUCCCUAUCUGCCGUGGGCGCUGGAGAACUGAGGGGGGCUGCUCCUAGUACGAGAGGACCGGAGUGGACGCAUCACUGGUGUUCGGGUUGUCAUGCCAAUGGCACUGCCCGGUAGCUAAAUGCGGAAGAGAUAAGUGCUGAAAGCAUCUAAGCACGAAACUUGCCCCGAGAUGAGUUCU
RNAcentral lists this ribosomal RNA (2872 nucleotides) under Escherichia coli. Its description in RNAcentral is "bacterial LSU rRNA". It matches the Rfam family "Bacterial large subunit ribosomal RNA". Lineage: Bacteria; Pseudomonadati; Pseudomonadota; Gammaproteobacteria; Enterobacterales; Enterobacteriaceae. The record is from RNAcentral.